UGAGAUUCCAGAUCGAGUUUACUAAAAGACCUAUUUAAGAAGGGUGGUUUAGUGGUGGGAAACCAACGAGCAAGUAAAGAAAACACCUAUGUGAUAAUGUGAAAACAAUCAGUUGACUUUCGAUUGUCAGCCUUAGAAAUGUUUCAACUUGGAUAGCCUGGCAGGCAAAUCUUCUUUAGUUAAGUCAGAACUUGACAAGUAACACAUUGGUCAACUUGACAAGUAAUAAAUCAGUAGGAACUGGAAGCAGGGCAUUCAUGGAUUGUAGAGUGAUUGCUUAAUGGAAUGUAAGCUGCCAAGUUCCCCCCAUCACAGUCACCAAAGGUUAAUAUUCUGAACAAGCAAAGAACACAUUUUUCAGCUUCCAAAGCUCACAAAUAUUGCAAUUUCAGAACUUUAUCGACAAAAAAUAUUGCAUCCAAGACACUGAAAUGAAAAAACCUUUGCCUCGAUAAGCUUCCGCCUUAGUCUACCUUACCCAGAAGAGCAGCAUGAUUCAGGCGAUUCUGUAGUUUUACUGUGCAUAUAGGUUUUAAGGGAAUCUUAAUAGAGUUGAAGAGAGAGUACGAACCUCGGAACCUGGAAAGUUUCUUCUUACAACUUGAUUUCUGAAUAUGAAGUAAUUUCUUGAGCAACUGGAACGCUUGGCUGAAGGCCAAUUUUUUUAGUAAAUCUUUUUAUGUCGGCUAGCUACGGCUUACAAUCAGUAAGAAUCAACUUUCGAC
Molecule: long non-coding RNA, 725 nt
Filed under: Linum usitatissimum (flax)
Lineage: Eukaryota; Viridiplantae; Streptophyta; Magnoliopsida; Malpighiales; Linaceae
Description: long non-coding RNA (LUSI_LNC005358)
Source: RNAcentral